UAGCUCAAUUUUCUCUUCAUUGUCGCAUAAAUCUUUCGCCUUUUACUAAAGAUUUCCGUGGAGAAGAACUCUUUGCGAGUGACCUGUGUUUUUGGAGGCUCUGCUCAAGGCAGAGCU
Sinocyclocheilus anshuiensis is the source of this 117-nucleotide small nuclear RNA. Its record names the gene U5. It matches the Rfam family "U5 spliceosomal RNA". From Rfam's summary of the family: U5 RNA is a component of both types of known spliceosome. The precise function of this molecule is unknown, though it is known that the 5' loop is required for splice site selection and p220 binding, and that both the 3' stem-loop and the Sm site are important for Sm protein binding and cap methylation. The record is from Ensembl. Lineage: Eukaryota; Metazoa; Chordata; Actinopteri; Cypriniformes; Cyprinidae.